UGCCAGCCGCCGCGGUAAUACAGAGGGUGCGAACGUUGCUCGGAAUUACUGGGCGUAAAGCGCGUGUAGGCGGCUUGUUAAGUCGACUGUGAAAGCCCAUGGCUCAACCAUGGAGGUGCGGUCGAUACUGGCAAGCUGGAGUCCCGGAGAGGGUGGCGGAAUUCUCAGUGUAGAGGUGAAAUUCGUAGAUAUUGGGAGGAACACCGGUGGCGAAGGCGGCCACCUGGACGGGUACUGACGCUGAGACGCGAAAGCGUGGGGAGCAAACAGGAUUAGAUA
RNAcentral lists this ribosomal RNA (279 nucleotides) under uncultured bacterium. RNAcentral describes it as "partial 16S ribosomal RNA". It matches the Rfam family "Bacterial small subunit ribosomal RNA", at positions 506 to 784 of the family's 1533-position model. The record is from RNAcentral.